Molecule: ribosomal RNA, 422 nt
Filed under: uncultured bacterium
Lineage: Bacteria
Description: bacterial SSU rRNA
Rfam family: Bacterial small subunit ribosomal RNA
Source: RNAcentral
UAUUGGACAAUGGGCGCAAGCCUGAUCCAGCGACGCCGCGUGUGUGAAGAAGGCCUGCGGGUUGUAAAGCACUUUUAGUGGGGAUGAAAAGCCGAAUGCUAAUACCUUUCGGUCUUGACCUAACCCAAAGAAAAAGCACCGGCUAACUCUGUGCCAGCAGCCGCGGUAAUACAGAGGGUGCGAGCGUUAAUCGGAAUUACUGGGCGUAAAGCGUGCGUAGUCGGUUAUUCAAGUCGGGCGUGAAAGCCCCGGGCUCAACCUGGGAAUUGCGUUCGAUACUGUCUAGCUAGAGUUCGGCAGAGGGAAGUGGAAUUUCCGGUGUAGCGGUGAAAUGCGUAGAUAUCGGAAGGAACAUCAGUGGCGAAAGCGACUUCCUGGACCAGAACUGACGAUGAGGCACGAAAGCGUGGGGAGCAAACAGG